RNAcentral lists this ribosomal RNA (356 nucleotides) under uncultured bacterium. RNAcentral describes it as "bacterial SSU rRNA". It matches the Rfam family "Bacterial small subunit ribosomal RNA", at positions 27 to 383 of the family's 1533-position model. The record is from RNAcentral.
GGACGAACGCUGGCGGCGUGCUUAACACAUGCAAGUCGAGCGGUAAGGCCCUUUCGGGGGUACACGAGCGGCGAACGGGUGAGUAACACGUGGGUGACCUGCCCUCAGCUCUGGGAUAAGCCUGGGAAACCGGGUCUAAUACUGGAUAUGACUCCAUGACGCAUGUUGUGGGGUGGAAAGCCUUGUGCGGCUGAGGAUGGGCCCGCGGCCUAUCAGCUUGUUGGUGGGGUGANGGCCUACCAAGGCGACGACGGGUAGCCGGCCUGAGAGGGCGACCGGCCACACUGGGACUGAGACACGGCCCAGACUCCUACGGGAGGCAGCAGUGGGGAAUCUUGCGCAAGUGGGCGAAAGCC